Molecule: ribosomal RNA, 402 nt
Filed under: uncultured bacterium
Lineage: Bacteria
Description: bacterial SSU rRNA
Rfam family: Bacterial small subunit ribosomal RNA
Source: RNAcentral
UGGGGAAUUUUGGACAAUGGGGGCAACCCUGAUCCAGCCAUCCCGCGUGUGCGAUGAAGGCCUUCGGGUUGUAAAGCACUUUUGGCAGGGAAGAAACGGUCCGGGAUAAUACCCUGGGCUAAUGACGGUACCUGCAGAAUAAGCACCGGCUAACUACGUGCCAGCAGCCGCGGUAAUACGUAGGGUGCAAGCGUUAAUCGGAAUUACUGGGCGUAAAGCGUGCGCAGGCGGUUCGGAAAGAAAGGUGUGAAAUCCCAGGGCUUAACCUUGGAACUGCACUUUUAACUACCGGGCUAGAGUACGUCAGAGGGGGUAGAAUUCCACGUGUAGCAGUGAAAUGCGUAGAGAUGUGGAGGAAUACCGAUGGCGAAGGCAGCCCCCUGGGAUGAUACUGACGCUCAU